Myotis lucifugus (little brown bat) is the source of this 164-nucleotide small nuclear RNA. Its record names the gene U1. It matches the Rfam family "U1 spliceosomal RNA". From Rfam's summary of the family: U1 is a small nuclear RNA (snRNA) component of the spliceosome (involved in pre-mRNA splicing). Its 5' end forms complementary base pairs with the 5' splice junction, thus defining the 5' donor site of an intron. The record is from Ensembl. NCBI's taxonomy places the organism in Eukaryota, Metazoa, Chordata, Mammalia, Chiroptera, Vespertilionidae.
AUACUUACCUGGAAGGGGAGAUAACAUGAUCAUGAAGGUGGUUUUCCCAGGGUGAGGCUUAUCCAUUACACUCCAGAUAAGCUGACCCCUGCGAUUUCCCCAAAUGUGGGAAACUCAACUGCAUAAUUUGUGGUAGUGCGGGAUUGCAUUCGCACUGACCCCUG